RNAcentral lists this ribosomal RNA (270 nucleotides) under uncultured archaeon. RNAcentral describes it as "partial 16S ribosomal RNA". It matches the Rfam family "Archaeal small subunit ribosomal RNA", at positions 717 to 982 of the family's 1478-position model. The record is from RNAcentral.
ACACGACUACAUUAGACUACCCUGUAGUCCUAGGACGUAAAUGAUGCGAGUUAAGUGGUGGGGGCAUCUACGAGAUGGCCCUGUGCUGGUAGGGUAGACCGUUAAACUCGCUGCCGUGGGGAGUACGGUCGCAAGGCUAGAAACUUAAAGGAAUUGGCGGGGAGCACCACAAGAGGUGGAGGCUGCGGUUCAAUUGGACUCAACGCCGGAAAACUCAUCGGGAGCGACAGCAGUAUGAUUGCCAGGUUGAUGACCUUGCUUGACAAGCUG